UACGUAGGGUGCAAGCGUUGUCCGGAAUUAUUGGGCGUAAAGAGCUCGUAGGCGGUUUGUCUCGUCUGCUGUGAAAACUCGGGGCUUAACCCCGGGCCUGCAGUGGGUACGGGCAGACUAGAGUGCGGUAGGGGAGACUGGAAUUCCUGGUGUAGCGGUGAAAUGCGCAGAUAUCAGGAGGAACACCGGUGGCGAAGGCGGGUCUCUGGGCCGUAACUGACGCUGAGGAGCGAAAGCGUGGGGAGCGAACAGG
RNAcentral lists this ribosomal RNA (253 nucleotides) under uncultured bacterium. Its description in RNAcentral is "partial 16S ribosomal RNA". It matches the Rfam family "Bacterial small subunit ribosomal RNA", at positions 524 to 776 of the family's 1533-position model. The record is from RNAcentral.